AUGCUUAACACAUGCAAGUCGAACGGAAACGAUGGAAGCUUGCUUCCAGGCGUCGAGUGGCGGACGGGUGAGUAAUGCUUGGGAAUCUGCCUAAUAGUGGGGGAAAACACGGGGAAACUCGUGCUAAUACCGCAUAAUCUCUACGGAGGAAAGGGGGCCUCUACAUGUAAGCUCUCGCUAAUAGAUGAGCCCAAGUCAGAUUAGCUUGUUGGUGAGGUAAAAGCUCACCAAGGCUACGAUCUGUAGCUGGUCUGAGAGGACGAUCAGCCACACUGGGACUGAGACACGGCCCAGACUCCUACGGGAGGCAGCAGUGGGGAAUAUUGCACAAUGGGCGCAAGCCUGAUGCAGCAAUACCGCGUGUGUGAAGAAGGCCUUAGGGUUGUAAAGCACUUUCAAUAGAGAAGAAAAGCUUAGAGUUAAUAACUCUGAGCAUUGACGUAACCUAUAGAAGAAGCACCGGCUAAAUCCGUGCCAGCAGCCGCGGUAAUACGGAUGGUGCGAGCGUUAAUCGGAAUUACUGGGCGUAAAGCGCGCGUAGGCUGUUUUAUAAGUCGGAUGUGAAAUCCCCGGGCUCAACCUGGGAACUGCAUCCGAAACUAUUUAACUAGAGUAUGGGAGAGGUAAGUAGAAUUUCCGGUGUAGCGGUGAAAUGCGUAGAUAUCGGAAGGAACACCAGUGG
RNAcentral lists this ribosomal RNA (682 nucleotides) under uncultured bacterium. RNAcentral describes it as "bacterial SSU rRNA". It matches the Rfam family "Bacterial small subunit ribosomal RNA", at positions 44 to 715 of the family's 1533-position model. The record is from RNAcentral.